GGUGUAAACCGUGAGGAAGGUGGGAUGACGUCAAAUCAGCACGGCCCUUAUGUCCAGGGCUACACACGUGUUACAAUGGCCGGUACAGAGGGCAGCUACCUGGAGACAGGAUGCUAAUCUCGAAAACCGGUCUCAGUUCGGAUCGAAGUCUGCAACUCGACUUCGUGAAGCUGGAUUCGCUAGUAAUCGCGCAUCAGCUAUGGCGCGGUGAAUACGUUCCCGGGCCUU
RNAcentral lists this ribosomal RNA (228 nucleotides) under uncultured Sphingobacteriales bacterium. RNAcentral's name for it is "partial 16S ribosomal RNA". It matches the Rfam family "Bacterial small subunit ribosomal RNA", at positions 1154 to 1382 of the family's 1533-position model. The record is from RNAcentral. Lineage: Bacteria; Pseudomonadati; Bacteroidota; Sphingobacteriia; Sphingobacteriales.